This is a long non-coding RNA of Chinchilla lanigera (long-tailed chinchilla), 283 nucleotides long. RefSeq lists it as uncharacterized. NCBI's taxonomy places the organism in Eukaryota, Metazoa, Chordata, Mammalia, Rodentia, Chinchillidae. The record is from RefSeq and is a predicted model, not a curated record. The transcript has 2 exons.
CUGAGUGCUGGGAUUACAGCUAUGUGCCACCAUGCCUGUGUUCCCCUAAGAGGAGGAGAGAGGGGCAGAGGCAGAGGCAUCUCCUGCCCACGCCUGGUUCCCCUCAGGAAACCACGAAGGGCGAACACAUCGCCGCGUCUCCAGCCGGGCUGAGAACAGUGCAGGUGGAAAAGCGUGUCCUUCAGAGCUGGACUUCAGACAACUGUUGUUUUCCAGUUGGCAGAACAUUCUGGAGACCCGAAAUGCACUAAAAGUAGAACCGAAAAUAAAAAGAGGAAACGCU